UUGCUCAUUUUAGCAGCACAUAUACUAAAAUUGGAAUGAUACAGAGAAGAUUAGCAUGGCCCCUGCGCAAGGAAGACACGCAAAUCUGCGAAGCAUUCCAUAUUAAA
Mustela putorius furo (domestic ferret) is the source of this 107-nucleotide small nuclear RNA. Lineage: Eukaryota; Metazoa; Chordata; Mammalia; Carnivora; Mustelidae. The record is from Ensembl.